RNAcentral lists this unclassified non-coding RNA (338 nucleotides) under soil metagenome. RNAcentral describes it as "partial contains 5.8S ribosomal RNA, internal transcribed spacer 2, and large subunit ribosomal RNA". The stretch from base 1 to 120 matches the Rfam family "5.8S ribosomal RNA", at positions 35 to 154 of the family's 154-position model. The record is from RNAcentral.
GAUGAAGAACGCAGCGAAAUGCGAUAAGUAAUGUGAAUUGCAGAAUUCAGUGAAUCAUCGAAUCUUUGAACGCACAUUGCGCCCGCCAGUAUUCUGGCGGGCAUGCCUGUCUGAGCGUCAUUUCAACCCUCAAGCAACUUCUGCUUGGUGUUGGGGAUCGGCCGUUAAACGCCGCCCCCGAAAUCUAUUGGCGAUCUCGCUGUAGCUUCCUAUGCGUAGUAGUAACAUCUCGCAUCUGGAGAGCGGCGCGGUCAUGCCGUAAAACACCCAACUUCUCAGGUUGACCUCAGAUCAGGUAGGAAUACCCGCUGAACUUAAGCAUAUCAAUAAGCGGAGGA